GAUGAACGCUAGCUACAGGCUUAACACAUGCAAGUCGAGGGGCAGCACAGGGUGGCAACACUUGGGUGGCGACCGGCGCACGGGUGAGUAACACGUAUCCAACCUUCCCUUACUCCGGGAUAGCCCAUCGAAAGAUGGAUUAACACCGGAUGGUUUCGCGGGAUUGCAUGAUAUCGCGAAUAAAGUUUUACGGUAAAGGAUGGGGAUGCGUUCCAUUAGCUUGUUGGCGGGUAACGGCCCACCAAGGCUACGAUGGAUAGGGGUUCUGAGAGGAAGGUCCCCCACAUUGGAACUGAGACACGGUCCAAACUCUUACGGGAGGCAGGCAGUGAGGAAUAUUGGUCAAUGGACGAGAGUCUGAACCAGCCAAGUAGCGUGCAGGAUGACGGCCUAUGGGUUGUAAACUGCUUUUAUAAGGGAAUAAAGUGAGCCUCGUGAGGCUUUUUGCAUGUACCUUAUGAAUAAGGACCGGCUAAUUCCGUGCCAAGCAGCCGCAGU
This 498-nucleotide ribosomal RNA is filed under the name uncultured bacterium. RNAcentral's name for it is "bacterial SSU rRNA". It matches the Rfam family "Bacterial small subunit ribosomal RNA", at positions 28 to 521 of the family's 1533-position model. The record is from RNAcentral.